AGUGAACGCUGGCGGUAGGCCUAACACAUGCAAGUCGAACGGCAGCACAGUAAGAGCUUGCUCUUACGGGUGGCGAGUGGAGGACGGGUGAGGAAUACAUCGGAAUCUACUUUUUCGUGGGGGAUAACGUAGGGAAACUUACGCUAAUACCGCAUACGACCUACGGGUGAAAGCAGGGGAUCUUCGGACCUUGCGCGAUUGAAUGAGCCGAUGUCGGAUUAGCUAGUUGGCGGGGUAAAGGCCCACCAAGGCGACGAUCCGUAGCUGGUCUGAGAGGAUGAUCAGCCACACUGGAACUGAGACACGGUCCAGACUCCUACGGGAGGCAGCAGUGGGGAAUAUUGGACAAUGGGCGCAAGCCUGAUCCAGCCAUACCGCGUGGGUGAAGAAGGCCUUCGGGUUGUAAAGCCCUUUUGUUGGGAAAGAAAAGCAGCAGGUUAAUACCCCGCUAUUCUGACGGUACCCAAAGAAUAAGCACCGGCUAACUUCGUG
RNAcentral lists this ribosomal RNA (492 nucleotides) under uncultured bacterium. RNAcentral's name for it is "partial 16S ribosomal RNA". It matches the Rfam family "Bacterial small subunit ribosomal RNA", at positions 29 to 507 of the family's 1533-position model. The record is from RNAcentral.